CCUACGGUGGGCAGCAGUGAGGAAUAUUGGUCAAUGGGCGCAAGCCUGACCCAGCAAUGCCGCGUGAAGGCAGAAGGCUUUCGGGUUGUAAACUUCUUUGACAGGGGAAGAGCAGAAGACGGUACCCUGAAAACAAGCCACGGCUAACUCCGUGCCAGCAGCCGCGGUAAUACGUAGGUGGCAAGCGUUGUCCGGAUUUACUGGGUGUAAAGGGCGUGUAGCCGGGAAGGCAAGUCAGAUGUGAAACCUGGAGGCUCAACCUCCAAAUUGCAUUUGAAACUGUUUUUCUUGAGUACUGGAGAGGCAGACGGAAUGCCUGGUGUAGCGGUGAAAGGCGUAGAUAUAAGGAGGAACACCAGUGGCGAAGGCGGUCUGCUGGACAGCAACUGACGGUGAGGCGCGAAAGCGUGGGGAGCAAACAGGAUUAGAUACCCGGGUAGUC
This 442-nucleotide ribosomal RNA is filed under the name uncultured bacterium. Its description in RNAcentral is "partial 16S ribosomal RNA". It matches the Rfam family "Bacterial small subunit ribosomal RNA", at positions 338 to 795 of the family's 1533-position model. The record is from RNAcentral.